This 74-nucleotide transfer RNA is filed under the name Candidatus Thioglobus sp. Its description in RNAcentral is "tRNA-Gly". It matches the Rfam family "tRNA". From Rfam's summary of the family: Transfer RNA (tRNA) molecules are approximately 80 nucleotides in length. Their secondary structure includes four short double-helical elements and three loops (D, anti-codon, and T loops). Further hydrogen bonds mediate the characteristic L-shaped molecular structure. tRNAs have two regions of fundamental functional importance: the anti-codon, which is responsible for specific mRNA codon recognition, and the 3' end, to which the tRNAs corresponding amino acid is attached (by aminoacyl-tRNA synthetases). tRNAs cope with the degeneracy of the genetic code in two manners: having more than one tRNA (with a specific anti-codon) for a particular amino acid; and 'wobble' base-pairing, i.e. permitting non-standard base-pairing at the 3rd anti-codon position. The record is from RNAcentral. RNAcentral also lists the same sequence under 1 other name. Lineage: Bacteria; Pseudomonadati; Pseudomonadota; Gammaproteobacteria; Pseudothioglobaceae (SeqCode).
GCGGGUAUCGUAUAUUGGUAUUACCUUGGCCUUCCAAGCCAAUGAGACGAGUUCGAUUCUCGUCACCCGCUCCA